This 436-nucleotide non-coding RNA is filed under the name Pongo abelii (Sumatran orangutan). The record is from RNAcentral. Lineage: Eukaryota; Metazoa; Chordata; Mammalia; Primates; Hominidae.
GGAACCAAAUCUUGAUCUGGCGCUCGGACAGGCAGAGUGCGUGGGCGAUCUCGAUGCGCCGUCGCCGGGUCAGGUUGCUUGUCUGGAGACAGAGCCACUACGGGCAGGGCCUGGGCGCCUGGAGUCGGGCAUGAAAGGAAAUAGCGCCUCAUCGCUCUUAUCUAAGCCCAGAGGUCUACUUCGCUUGAAAAGAUCGAGAAUGGGGGAGGGGAUCGUCACUCACUUGCAGACAUCAACAGUUUCCAGAAAACUCGGUUCAAUUCCUUCACCACGGACCCACCAACCAAGGAGCUGGCAAGACCCACCAGCCAACCAGGAGAACACAGACCCGGUUUGUCUUUUGACAACCGAGUGGAACUGACGGGGCCGGCGCCUGCCCUGCGGGUCCCCUCCCUUGGCUGAGAAGAAAACCAAAUAAACCUUGAACAGCCUUGGC